This 460-nucleotide ribosomal RNA is filed under the name uncultured bacterium. Its description in RNAcentral is "partial 16S ribosomal RNA". It matches the Rfam family "Bacterial small subunit ribosomal RNA", at positions 338 to 795 of the family's 1533-position model. The record is from RNAcentral.
CCUACGGGAGGCAGCAGUGAGGAAUAUUGGUCAAUGGACGAGAGUCUGAACCAGCCAAGUAGCGUGAAGGAUGACUGCCCUAUGGGUUGUAAACUUCUUUUAUAAAGGAAUAAAACGUGGCACGUGUGCCUUUUUGCAUGUACUUUAUGAAUAAGGAUCGGCUAACUCCGUGCCAGCAGCCGCGGUAAUACGGAGGAUCCGAGCGUUAUCCGGAUUUAUUUGGUUUAAAGGGAGCGUAGAUGGGUUGUUAAGUCAGUUGUGAAAGUUUGCGGCGCAACCGUAAAAUUGCAAUUGAUACUGGCAGUCUUGAGUACAGUUGAGGUAGGCGGAAUUCGUGGUGUAGCGGUGAAAUGCUUAGAUAUCACGAAGAACGCCGAUUGCGAAGGCAGCUUACUAAACUGCCACUGACAUUGAUGCUCGAAAGUGUGGGUAUCAAACAGGAUUAGAUACCCUUGUAGUC